RNAcentral lists this ribosomal RNA (449 nucleotides) under uncultured bacterium. Its description in RNAcentral is "bacterial SSU rRNA". It matches the Rfam family "Bacterial small subunit ribosomal RNA", at positions 98 to 565 of the family's 1533-position model. The record is from RNAcentral.
GCGAACGGGUGAGUAACGCGUGAGCAAUCUACCUUAGUUACAGGGAUAGCCCGAGGAAACUCGGAUUAAUACCUGAUAUUCUUUACAUUUCGCAUGAAAUCAAAAGGAAAGGUCAGCCGAACUAAGAUGAGCUCGCGUUCUAUCAGCUAGUUGGUGAGGUAAAAGCUCACCAAGGCAACGACGGAUAGCUGGUCUGAGAGGACGAUCAGCCACACUGGGACUGAGACACGGCCCAGACUCCUACGGGAGGCUGCAGCAGGGAAUAUUGCGCAAUGAGCGAAAGCUUGACGCAGCGACACCGCGUGUGGGAUGACGGAUCUACGUUUGUAAACCACUUUCAGGAGGGAAGAAAAUGACGGUACCUCCACAAGAAGCCCCGGCCAACUACGUGCCAGCAGCCGCGGUAAUACGUACGGGGCGAACGUUGUCCGGAUUUAUUGGGCGUAAAG